CCUACGGGUGGCUGCAGUGGGGAAUAUUGGACAAUGGGGGGAACCCUGAUCCAGCCAUGCCGCGUGUGUGAAGAAGGCCCUCGGGUUGUAAAGCACUUUCAGUGAGGAAGAACGCCUGGUGGUUAAUACCCAUCAGGAAAGACAUCACUCACAGAAGAAGCACCGGCUAACUCCGUGCCAGCAGCCGCGGUAAUACGGAGGGUGCGAGCGUUAAUCGGAAUUACUGGGCGUAAAGCGCGCGUAGGUGGCUUGAUAAGCCGGUUGUGAAAGCCCCGGGCUCAACCUGGGAACGGCAUCCGGAACUGUCAAGCUAGAGUGCAGGAGAGGAAGGUAGAAUUCCCGGUGUAGCGGUGAAAUGCGUAGAGAUCGGGAGGAAUACCAGUGGCGAAGGCGGCCUUCUGGACUGAAACUGACACUGAGGUGCGAAAGCGUGGGUAGCAAACAGGAUUAGAUACCCUUGUAGUC
This 465-nucleotide ribosomal RNA is filed under the name Vreelandella stevensii. RNAcentral's name for it is "partial 16S ribosomal RNA". It matches the Rfam family "Bacterial small subunit ribosomal RNA", at positions 338 to 795 of the family's 1533-position model. The record is from RNAcentral. Lineage: Bacteria; Pseudomonadati; Pseudomonadota; Gammaproteobacteria; Oceanospirillales; Halomonadaceae.